CUAAGCCACAGUCAUGUUUCUGUCUGAUGCAGCUCUGCUAGAAAUGUGCGUCCUACAGAGAUUUCGACAGAACACUGUCCCCAAAAUGGAAUUGACACGAAGGUGAAUUCAGGACAUAUCUCUGCCCGCAGGAAGCUCACGUUCCAGUCAAUGGCAGCCUCUGGACAACUGCAUUGCCCAUCUUCCUGCCAGGACGUUCCAGAACUGAGGUGCCAAGCCUGGGUGCAGCCCAGGGAAGGACCCUGGAUGCUGCUGGAGGAGGGUCCCGAAAUCAAGGGAAUGGAUGUAUUGCAGAUAAGAGCUUCGCUCCAUUCCCUCUCCCCAGGAGGGCCACCAACCAUGUGUUUGUGCUUGCACUGUGAGCUCACUGCAUAGGUAAUUGGACCAGGCCUGAGCCAAUCAGGUUUGUCAUCCACUAGGAAUUUGGAAUGGAGAUGGACUAGUAGCCAAUGGACUGAGAAGAAAAUGAGGGAACUCAGGAUGCUGGCAGGAAGGGG
Molecule: long non-coding RNA, 497 nt
Filed under: Heterocephalus glaber (naked mole-rat)
Lineage: Eukaryota; Metazoa; Chordata; Mammalia; Rodentia; Bathyergidae
Description: lncRNA (ENSHGLG00100050169.1)
Source: RNAcentral